RNAcentral lists this non-coding RNA (31 nucleotides) under Macaca fascicularis (crab-eating macaque). The record is from RNAcentral. Lineage: Eukaryota; Metazoa; Chordata; Mammalia; Primates; Cercopithecidae. RNAcentral also lists the same sequence under 1 other name.
UGAACUGGUUCCAUUGUCUUCCCUGGAAAGG